Molecule: non-coding RNA, 115 nt
Organism: Triticum aestivum (bread wheat)
Lineage: Eukaryota; Viridiplantae; Streptophyta; Magnoliopsida; Poales; Poaceae
Source: Rfam
CAUGUACUUCUUCCGUUCGGAAUUACUUGUCACAAAAAUGGAUGUAUCUACAACUAAAAUACAUCUAAAUACAUUUAUUUCUUGGACGAGUAAUUCCGAACGGAGGGAGUAUCUC